This 429-nucleotide ribosomal RNA is filed under the name Pseudomonadota bacterium. RNAcentral describes it as "Proteobacteria bacterium partial 16S ribosomal RNA". It matches the Rfam family "Bacterial small subunit ribosomal RNA", at positions 355 to 776 of the family's 1533-position model. Lineage: Bacteria; Pseudomonadati; Pseudomonadota. The record is from RNAcentral.
UGGGGAAUAUUGGACAAUGGGCGAAAGCCUGAUCCAGCCAUGCCGCGUGUGUGAAGAAGGUCUUCGGAUUGUAAAGCACUUUAAGUUGGGAGGAAGAGCAGUAAGCGAAUACCUUGCUGUUUUGACGUUACCGACAGAAUAAGCACCGGCUAACUCUGUGCCAGCAGCCGCGGUAAUACAGAGGGUGCAAGCGUUAAUCGGAAUUACUGGGCGUAAAGCGUGCGUAGGCGGCUAAUUGAGUCGGAUGUGAAAUCCCCGAGCUUAACUUGGGAAUUGCAUUCGAUACUGGUUAGCUAGAGUGUGGGAGAGGAUGGUAGAAUUCCAGGUGUAGCGGUGAAAUGCGUAGAGAUCUGGAGGAAUACCGAUGGCGAAGGCAGCCAUCUGGCCUAACACUGACGCUGAGGUACGAAAGCAUGGGGAGCAAACAGG